RNAcentral lists this ribosomal RNA (253 nucleotides) under uncultured bacterium. RNAcentral's name for it is "partial 16S ribosomal RNA". It matches the Rfam family "Bacterial small subunit ribosomal RNA", at positions 524 to 776 of the family's 1533-position model. The record is from RNAcentral.
UACGGAGGUGGCAAGCGUUGUUCGGAAUUACUGGGCGUAAAGGGCGCGUAGGCGGGGAGGUAAGUCGGGUGUGUAAUCCCUCGGCUCAACCGAGGAACUGCGCUCGAGACUGCUUCUCUUGAGUCCCGGAGAGGAAGGUGGAAUUCCCGGUGUAGCGGUGAAAUGUGUAGAGAUCGGGAGGAACACCGGUGGCGAAGGCGGCCUUCUGGACGGUGACUGACGCUGAGGCGCGAAAGCUAGGGGAGCAAACGGG